CCUACGGGGGGCAGCAGUGAGGAAUAUUGGACAAUGGGGGAAACCCUGAUCCAGCAACGCCGCGUGAGGGAUGAAGGUCUUUGGAUUGUAAACCUCUUUUCUCAGGGAAGAGAUAGGACGGUACCUGAGGAAUAAGUCACGGCUAACUACGUGCCAGCAGCCGCGGUAAUACGUAGGUGGCGAGCGUUAUCCGGAAUUACUGGGCGUAAAGCGCACGCAGGCGGCCAUUUAAGUCUGACGUGAAAGCUCCCGGCUUAACUGGGAGAGGUCGUUGGAAACUGGGUGGCUUGAGGCAAUGAGAGGGGUGUAGAAUUCCUGGUGUAGUGGUGAAAUGCGUAGAUAUCGGGAGGAACACCAGUGGCGAAGGCGGCAUCCUGGCCCUGUCCUGACGCUCAGGGGCGAAAGCGUGGGGAGCAAACCGGAUUAGAUACCCUUGUAGU
This 440-nucleotide ribosomal RNA is filed under the name uncultured bacterium. RNAcentral describes it as "bacterial SSU rRNA". It matches the Rfam family "Bacterial small subunit ribosomal RNA", at positions 338 to 794 of the family's 1533-position model. The record is from RNAcentral.